GACGAACGCUGGCGGCGUGCUUAACACAUGCAAGUCGAACGGAAAGGCCCUGCUUUUGUGGGGUGCUCGAGUGGCGAACGGGUGAGUAACACGUGAGUAACCUGCCCUUGACUUUGGGAUAACUUCAGGAAACUGGGGCUAAUACCGGAUAGGAGCUCCUGCUGCAUGGUGGGGGUUGGAAAGUUUCGGCGGUUGGGGAUGGACUCGCGGCUUAUCCGCUUGUUGGUGGGGUAGUGGCUUACCAAGGCUUUGACGGGUAGCCGGCCUGAGAGGGUGACCGGCCACCUUGGGACUGAGGUACGGCCCAGACUCCUACGGGAGGCAGCAGUGGGGAAUAUUGCACAAUGGGCGGAAGCCUGAUGCAGCAACGCCGCGUGCGGGAUGACGGCCUUCGGGUUGUAAACCGCUUUCGCCUGUGACGAAGCGUGAGUGACGGUAAUGGGUAAAGAAGCACCGGCUAACUACGUG
Molecule: ribosomal RNA, 468 nt
Filed under: uncultured bacterium
Lineage: Bacteria
Description: partial 16S ribosomal RNA
Rfam family: Bacterial small subunit ribosomal RNA
Source: RNAcentral